CAGGAAAGAAAGAAAAAGAAAAAAAAUAUUGGAAGAGAAAUGGUUUGCUUGCUUCCUCCCUUUCUCGAGUCAAGUUUGUUUUGUUUUUUGUUUCGUACAUGCAAAACUUUCGACCAAU
RNAcentral lists this non-coding RNA (118 nucleotides) under uncultured Nitzschia. The record is from RNAcentral. Lineage: Eukaryota; Bacillariophyta; Bacillariophyceae; Bacillariales; Bacillariaceae.